AUAGCGUAUAUUAAAGUUGUUGCAGUUAAAAAGCUCGUAGUUGGAUUUCUGGGAGGAUGCCAAUGUCCGAUGUUUUCGUGUGCAGCGGUGUCCUCCCAUCCUUCUGUUAACGUUUCUUGGGAUUUAUUUCCUGGUGACGGGCUCAGAUAUUUUACCUUGAGAAAAUUAGAGUGUUUUAGGCAGGCUUGCGCCGGAAUACAUUAGCAUGGAAUAAUAGAAUAGGACUUUGGGCUCCUUCGUUGGUUUGAGGGUCUGAAGUAAUGAUUAAUAGGGACAGUUGGGGGCAUUAGUAUUUAAUUGUCAGAGGUGAAAUUCUCGGAUUUGUUAAAGACUAACUUAUG
Molecule: ribosomal RNA, 341 nt
Filed under: uncultured eukaryote
Lineage: Eukaryota
Description: SSU rRNA
Rfam family: Eukaryotic small subunit ribosomal RNA
Source: RNAcentral